This is a long non-coding RNA of Helianthus annuus (common sunflower), 891 nucleotides long. RefSeq lists it as uncharacterized. Lineage: Eukaryota; Viridiplantae; Streptophyta; Magnoliopsida; Asterales; Asteraceae. The transcript has 4 exons. The record is from RefSeq and is a predicted model, not a curated record.
GCGGCAAUAUACUCCUCACACUCACACGCCUCUUCCUUCCACAAUACGAUUCACAAACCCUAAUUUAUCAAUCGAGUGCGGAUCUAAACCAGACCCAUGGACAAACAUCCUACAUAAUCUCUCAUAACCCGUUCCCAAACCCUAUUUUCCAUCGCUUCCUGUUUCGUAAUCUACCAACGUUGAAGACUUGUGUGUUCAUUGAGAAUUCGAAUUAUGGCAGUGUGAAGAUGAAGCUUGCGCUAGCGCUAAAUACGUGUUUAUACGUCUCCGAAAGCUCCGAUGACGUUGAAUUUGUGAAAAGUUCGUCUAGAAGCUGUUCAGAUUCUCCUCGGCGUAUGCCGAUCACUCCGACUCCGUCGUCUUCUGGUCUCCAUGUGUUGAAAAACGGCGAUAAAUCGACGUCGGAGGUUUUCUGAUUUCCGUUGCAGUUCUCCCAUGCUUUAACUUUAAGAGAGAUGCUCAAAAACAGGAACUUGCUUCCUCAUCUACAGAUAGCCUUUAUAAGACCCUCAAAGAUCAAGAUGCCAAUUUGAAUUCAUUGAUAGGAUGGUUAACUUCACUUGAACCAUCAGGCACACCACAACGGAAAAUAACGAAGGUAUAAAUUUCGCUACGGAACAAGAGUUUGGCGAUUUUGCUUUAUGUGGAGGUUCACGUCACCAUAUAACAGUUUGGACUUAGACGUGAAGCCUAAGUUUGGAAAGGCGUAGAACAAAAAUGAUGAUCUACCUGAGGAUUCAAUGCCAGUAGAUAUUAUAUAUUUGUGUUAAGCCACCCGCGAAAAUCGCGGGAUCUUAGGCUAGUUAACUCUAAAUCAAUAAAAGGAAUCUUUCGGUCCAAGAAAAGUUGACUCCUAAUACAUGAAUGCUUAAUAUGGUAAUUUUGUGACAA